RNAcentral lists this ribosomal RNA (418 nucleotides) under uncultured bacterium. RNAcentral's name for it is "bacterial SSU rRNA". It matches the Rfam family "Bacterial small subunit ribosomal RNA", at positions 352 to 767 of the family's 1533-position model. The record is from RNAcentral.
CAGUAAGGAAUAUUGGGCAAUGGACGCAAGUCUGACCCAGCCAUGCCGCGUGCAGGAUGACGGCCCUAUGGGUUGUAAACUGCUUUUGUACGGGAAGAACCCCUUCGAUGCUUCGGAGGCUGACGGUACUGUACGAAUAAGCAUCGGCUAACUCCGUGCCAGCAGCCGCGGUAAUACGGAGGAUGCAAGCGUUAUCCGGAUUUAUUGGGUUUAAAGGGUGCGCAGGCGGCAUGGUAAGUCAGUGGUGAAAUCUCCCGGCUCAACCGGGAAACUGCCGUUGAUACUGCCGUUCUAGAGUACAGUUGGGGUGGGCGGAAUGUGUCAUGUAGCGGUGAAAUGCUUAGAUAUGACACAGAACACCGAUCGCGAAGGCAGCCCACCAAGUUGUAACUGACGCUCAUGCACGAAAGCGUGGGGA